AACGAACGCUGGCGGCAGGCUUAACACAUGCAAGUCGAGCGCCCUGCAAGGGGAGCGGCAGACGGGUGAGUAACACGUGGGAAUCUACCCAUCCCUACGGAACAACUCCGGGAAACUGGAGCUAAUACCGUAUACGCCCUUUGGGGGAAAGAUUUAUCGGGGAUGGAUGAGCCCGCGUUGGAUUAGCUAGUUGGUGGGGUAAAGGCCUACCAAGGCGACGAUCCAUAGCUGGUCUGAGAGGAUGAUCAGCCACAUUGGGACUGAGACACGGCCCAAACUCCUACGGGAGGCAGCAGUGGGGAAUAUUGGACAAUGGGCGCAAGCCUGAUCCAGCCAUGCCGCGUGAAUGAUGAAGGCCUUAGGGUUGUAAAGUUCUUUCACCGAUGAAGAUAAUGACGGUAGUCGGAGAAGAAGCCCCGGCUAACUUCGUGCCAGCCGCCGCAGUAA
Molecule: ribosomal RNA, 447 nt
Filed under: uncultured bacterium
Lineage: Bacteria
Description: partial 16S ribosomal RNA
Rfam family: Bacterial small subunit ribosomal RNA
Source: RNAcentral